Molecule: long non-coding RNA, 906 nt
Organism: Leptinotarsa decemlineata (Colorado potato beetle)
Lineage: Eukaryota; Metazoa; Arthropoda; Insecta; Coleoptera; Chrysomelidae
Source: RefSeq, a predicted model, not a curated record
CAGGUGACUUUCAUUUCACUUAUUGGGUUUUGUGAAGGAAUCUUAUCAAUAGGGAAUUUCCCAAGGGCGAGACCCCUCGUCCACUCGGAAGAAAACAUUCCAUUCCUCCCCGCGGCCUACUACGCUCCGACGGGUAAUAAAUUUUACAUGCAGCUAUCGGAGAUAAACAAAAAAACUCCGAAAUAUGUGAGCAUCCGUAAAUUGAUGGGCAGUUUCUUGCCAGCAGACGCUCCAAAAAAAUGCUGUGGGAAUGAAUGGGUAGCCGAUGAUCAGGAAGUGCAUCUCGUACACGUUUCAGUUUUAGUGCCGACGACUUCGCCCCUUUUCUAUGGAUACCGAAAAUCGGAGGACGUCAAACCGGUUACAGAAUACAUUGAAGAUGACUUACAGUACGAUUUCCGAACAAAAACCCACUCGAUCCGAUAGAGAAGUACAUGCCUACCGCAUCAUGAUUCUUUUGUUCGGUAAUAAUGUUAAGUCAACAUGUCAAAAUUUGAUUGAACGUUGCUUUGGAGUGGUUUGUAGGAACAGACGAGAGUAAUUUACUUUUUCUGGGCAUGGAUAUCUUCAUUUGUUCUUCUGUACUUUUAGCUCACUACCUCCCAAUAAAGCGUUUGUGUUAACUAGGCUAGUGAUCUAAUGACUUUCACCAUCCGAUUGUUUCAUGUCAUUUGUGUAGUGUUUGGUUCGGAAUAUUUUAUUACUAGGUACAGCAUGUUUUAUCAUGUAUCUAAUAUGUCAGAAAGUUUAGAAAUAAUUCAUAUUCGACAUUGAAAAACUUCUUUUCGAGCCCUGAAGAAGAAAUUAGUUAGUUUGAAAUGUUGUCAAAAAAAGCAAUUAUUUUUCUGAGAAUAAAUGAUACUGUUACCCGAUCAACCUCUAUGGAAAUUAUAAUUAUGAUUAUUG